AGAGUUUGAUCCUGGCUCAGGAUGAACGCUAGCUACAGGCUUAACACAUGCAAGUCGAGGGGAAACGACAUCGAAAGCUUGCUUUUGAUGGGCGUCGACCGGCGCACGGGUGAGUAACGCGUAUCCAACCUGCCCAUCACUUGGGGAUAACCUUGCGAAAGUAAGACUAAUACCCAAUGAUAUCUCUAGAAGGCAUCUGAAAGAGAUUAAAGAUUUAUCGGUGAUGGAUGGGGAUGCGUCUGAUUAGCUUGGUUGGCGGGGUAACGGCCCACCAAAGCAACGAUCAGUAGGGGUUCUGAGAGGAAGGUCCCCCANAUUGGAACUGAGACACGGUCCAAACUCCUACGGGAGCA
Molecule: ribosomal RNA, 353 nt
Filed under: uncultured bacterium
Lineage: Bacteria
Description: bacterial SSU rRNA
Rfam family: Bacterial small subunit ribosomal RNA
Source: RNAcentral